RNAcentral lists this ribosomal RNA (292 nucleotides) under uncultured bacterium. Its description in RNAcentral is "partial 16S ribosomal RNA". It matches the Rfam family "Bacterial small subunit ribosomal RNA", at positions 505 to 796 of the family's 1533-position model. The record is from RNAcentral.
GUGCCAGCCGCCGCGGUAAGACGGAGGGUGCAAGCGUUGUUCGGAAUUACUGGGCGUAAAGGGCGCGUAGGCGGUCUGUUAAGUUCGGUGUGAAAGCCCCCGGCUCACCUGGGGAACUGCGCCGGAAACCGACAGACUCGAGUACCGGAGAGGAGGGUGGAAUUCCUGGUGUAGCGGUGAAAUGCGUAGAUAUCAGGAGGAACACCGGUGGCGAAGGCGGCCCUCUGGACGGAUACUGACGCUGAGGCGCGAAAGCGUGGGGAUCAAACAGGAUUAGAAACCCUCGUAGUCC